GGAUAAGCUCGGGAAACUGAGUAUAAUACUUGAUAAUGAAUUAGAUCUGGAAUGUCUAAUUCACCAAAGUUUUAACGUAUAAGGAUGAGUUGGCGGCUGAUUAGGUAGUUGGUGGGGUAAUGGCCCACCAAGCCAACGAUCAGUAGGGGCCAUGAGAGUGGGAGCCCCGAGAGGGUCACUGAGAAACUGGACCCAGCCCUACGGGGUGCAGCAGGCGCGAAACCUCUUCAAUGCACGACAGUGUGAAAGGGGGAUCCUACGUGCUUACGUUCAGCGUAGGCUUUUAUGAAGUGUAAAUAGCUUUAUGAAUAAGGGGUGGGAAAGACCGGUGCCAGCAGCCGCGGUAACACCGGCGCCUCAAGUGGCAAUCAGUAUUAUUGGGCCUAAAGCAUCCGUAGCCGGAUUUGUAAAUCUUUUGUGAAAUCUCUCCGCUUAACUGAGAGGCGUGCAGGAGACACUGCAAAUCUAGAGACCGGGAGGAGUUAGAAGUACUCUAGGGGGAGCGGUAAAAUGUUAUAAUCCCUGGAAGACUACCGAUGGCGAAGGCAUCUAACUAGAACGGAUCUGACGGUGAGGGAUGAAGGCUAGGGGAGCAAAACGGAUUAGAUACCCGAGUAGUCCUAGCUGUAAACGCUGUAUGCAAGGUGUUGCGUAUUCUUGUGAAUGCGCAGUAUCGAAGAGAAGUCGUUAAGCAUACCGCCUGGGAAGUACGGUCGCAAGACUGAAACUUAAAGGAAU
This 738-nucleotide ribosomal RNA is filed under the name uncultured euryarchaeote. RNAcentral describes it as "bacterial SSU rRNA". It matches the Rfam family "Archaeal small subunit ribosomal RNA", at positions 124 to 865 of the family's 1478-position model. Lineage: Archaea; Methanobacteriati; Methanobacteriota. The record is from RNAcentral.